GUGGGGAAUAUUGGACAAUGGGCGCAAGCCUGAUCCAGCCAUACCGCGUGGGUGAAGAAGGCCUUCGGGUUGUAAAGCCCUUUUGUUGGGAAAGAAAUCCUGUCGAUUAAUACUCGGUGGGGAUGACGGUACCCAAAGAAUAAGCACCGGCUAACUUCGUGCCAGCAGCCGCGGUAAUACGAAGGGUGCAAGCGUUACUCGGAAUUACUGGGCGUAAAGCGUGCGUAGGUGGUGGUUUAAGUCUGCUGUGAAAGCCCUGGGCUCAACCUGGGAAUUGCAGUGGAUACUGGAUCACUAGAGUGUGGUAGAGGGAUGCGGAAUUUCUGGUGUAGCAGUGAAAUGCGUAGAGAUCAGAAGGAACAUCCGUGGCGAAGGCGGCAUCCUGGGCCAACACUGACACUGAGGCACGAAAGCGUGGGGAGCAAACAGGAUUAGAUACCCUGGUAGUCC
This 450-nucleotide ribosomal RNA is filed under the name uncultured bacterium. Its description in RNAcentral is "bacterial SSU rRNA". It matches the Rfam family "Bacterial small subunit ribosomal RNA", at positions 354 to 796 of the family's 1533-position model. The record is from RNAcentral.